RNAcentral lists this ribosomal RNA (418 nucleotides) under uncultured bacterium. RNAcentral describes it as "bacterial SSU rRNA". It matches the Rfam family "Bacterial small subunit ribosomal RNA", at positions 361 to 776 of the family's 1533-position model. The record is from RNAcentral.
AUAUUGGUCAAUGGGCGCAAGCCUGAACCAGCCAUGCCGCGUGCAGGAAGAAGGUCCUAUGGAUUGUAAACUGCUUUUAUUUGGGAAUAAACCUCUUUACGUGUAGAGAGCUGAAGGUACCAAAUGAAUAAGCACCGGCUAACUCCGUGCCAGCAGCCGCGGUAAUACGGAGGGUGCAAGCGUUAUCCGGAAUCAUUGGGUUUAAAGGGUCCGCAGGCGGACUUAUAAGUCAGUGGUGAAAGCCUACAGCUCAACUGUAGAACUGCCAUUGAUACUGUAAGUCUUGAAUAUGUUCGGAGUGGGCGGAAUGUGACAUGUAGCGGUGAAAUGCUUAGAUAUGUCACAGAACACCGAUAGCGAAGGCAGCUCACUAGACCAUUAUUGACGCUCAUGGACGAAAGCGUGGGGAGCAAACAGG